GGCCGGCCUCUUUAGAGAGAAAUGGAGAGACAAGUUCUCACCAAUUUUCUCCAAAACAAAAACCCUAAUGAAUUUUAGGCUAUAAAGUCAUAUUUAUACCUUUAUUCAUUUGAGUGGUAAACUUGUAAAUAAGUCCAAGUUCACUACCCUUAGCAUCAUGGCCGGCCCUAGGGUAUUUUUGGGCUAGUUAGGCCUUUGUGAAUCAUUAUUCAUUAAGUUGUCAUACAACUUAAGUC
RNAcentral lists this long non-coding RNA (236 nucleotides) under Malus domestica (apple). Its description in RNAcentral is "long non-coding RNA (MDOM_LNC012895)". The record is from RNAcentral. Lineage: Eukaryota; Viridiplantae; Streptophyta; Magnoliopsida; Rosales; Rosaceae.